This 464-nucleotide ribosomal RNA is filed under the name uncultured Thiobacillus sp. RNAcentral describes it as "bacterial SSU rRNA". It matches the Rfam family "Bacterial small subunit ribosomal RNA", at positions 913 to 1382 of the family's 1533-position model. Lineage: Bacteria; Pseudomonadati; Pseudomonadota; Betaproteobacteria; Nitrosomonadales; Thiobacillaceae. The record is from RNAcentral.
ACGGGGACCCGCGACAAGCGGUGGAUGAUGUGGUUUAAUUCGAUGCAACGCGAAAACCUUACCACCUUUGACAUGUACGGAAUCCUUUAGAGAUAGAGGAGUGCUCGAAAGAGAGCCGUAACACAGGUGCUGCAUGGCUGUCGUCAGCUCGUGUCGUGAGAUGUUGGGUUAAGUCCCGCAACGAGCGCAACCCUUAUCAUUAGUUGCUACACAAGGGCACUCUAAUGAGACUGCCGGUGACAAACCGGAGGAAGGUGGGGAUGACGUCAAGUCCUCAUGGCCCUUAUGGGUAGGGCUUCACACGUCAUACAAUGGUCGGUACAGAGGGUUGCCAAGCCGCGAGGCGGAGCCAAUCCCACAAAGCCGAUCGUAGUCCGGAUUGUUCUCUGCAACUCGAGAGCAUGAAGUCGGAAUCGCUAGUAAUCGCAGGUCAGCAUACUGCGGUGAAUACGUUCCCGGGUCUU